UGGGGAAUAUUGGACAAUGGGCGCAAGCCUGAUCCAGCCAUGCCGCGUGAGUGAUGAAGGCCCUAGGGUUGUAAAGCUCUUUCAACGGUGAAGAUAAUGACAGUAACCGUAGAAGAAGCCCCGGCUAACUUCGUGCCAGCAGCCGCGGUAAUACGAAGGGGGCUAGCGUUGUCCGGAAUUACUGGGCGUAAAGCGCACGUAGGCGGAUAUUUAAGUCAGAGGUGAAAUCCCGGAGCUCAACUUCGGAACUGCCUUUGAUACUGGGUAUCUUGAGUAUGGAAGAGGUAAGUGGAAUUGCGAGUGUAGAGGUGAAAUUCGUAGAUAUUCGCAGGAACACCAGUGGCGAAGGCGGCUUACUGGUCCAUUACUGACGCUGAGGUGCGAAAGCGUGGGGAGCAAACA
RNAcentral lists this ribosomal RNA (402 nucleotides) under uncultured Hyphomicrobiales bacterium. RNAcentral's name for it is "bacterial SSU rRNA". It matches the Rfam family "Bacterial small subunit ribosomal RNA", at positions 355 to 774 of the family's 1533-position model. The record is from RNAcentral. Lineage: Bacteria; Pseudomonadati; Pseudomonadota; Alphaproteobacteria; Hyphomicrobiales.